This 501-nucleotide ribosomal RNA is filed under the name uncultured bacterium. Its description in RNAcentral is "bacterial SSU rRNA". It matches the Rfam family "Bacterial small subunit ribosomal RNA", at positions 1 to 525 of the family's 1533-position model. The record is from RNAcentral.
UAGAGUUUGAUCCUGGCUCAGGACGAACGCUGGCGGCGUGCUUAACACAUGCAAGUCGAGCGAGGAAGUUUCUUCGGAAACAACCUAGCGGCGGACGGGUGAGUAACACGCGGGCAACCUGCCUUGAAGUGGGGGAUAGCCCUCCGAAAGGAGGAUUAAUACCGCAUAACAUCAGUACAUCGCAUGAUGAAUUGAUUAAAGGAGUAAUCCGCUUCAAGAUGGGCCCGCGGCGCAUUAGCUAGUUGGUGAGGUAACGGCUCACCAAGGCGACGAUGCGUAGCCGACCUGAGAGGGUGAUCGGCCACAUUGGGACUGAGACACGGCCCAGACUCCUACGGGAGGCAGCAGUGGGGAAUAUUGCACAAUGGGGGAAACCCUGAUGCAGCAACGCCGCGUGAGUGAUGAAGGCCUUCGGGUUGUAAAGCUCUGUCUUCAGGGACGAUAAUGACGGUACCUGAGGAGGAAGCCACGGCUAACUACAUGCCAGCAGCCGCGGUAAUA